CAUGCAGUCGAGCGGAUGACGGGAGCUUGCUCCUUGAUUCAGCGGCGGACGGGUGAGUAAUGCCUAGGAAUCUGCCUGGUAGUGGGGGACAACGUUUCGAAAGGAACGCUAAUACCGCAUACGUCCUACGGGAGAAAGCAGGGGACCUUCGGGCCUUGCGCUAUCAGAUGAGCCUAGGUCGGAUUAGCUAGUUGGUGGGGUAAUGGCUCACCAAGGCGACGAUCCGUAACUGGUCUGAGAGGAUGAUCAGUCACACUGGAACUGAGACACGGUCCAGACUCCUACGGGAGGCAGCAGUGGGGAAUAUUGGACAAUGGGCGAAAGCCUGAUCCAGCCAUGCCGCGUGUGUGAAGAAGGUCUUCGGAUUGUAAAGCACUUUAAGUUGGGAGGAAGGGCAGUAAGUUAAUACCUUGCUGUUUUGACGUUACCGACAGAAUAAGCACCGGCUAACUCCGUGCAAGCCACCCAAA
RNAcentral lists this ribosomal RNA (470 nucleotides) under Pseudomonas monteilii. Its description in RNAcentral is "bacterial SSU rRNA". It matches the Rfam family "Bacterial small subunit ribosomal RNA", at positions 54 to 523 of the family's 1533-position model. Lineage: Bacteria; Pseudomonadati; Pseudomonadota; Gammaproteobacteria; Pseudomonadales; Pseudomonadaceae. The record is from RNAcentral.